CACUAGUAUAGAGCCGUUGUCGCUCUCCUAAUGAGUCUAAGGCAUGCCGAAACUAGUG
This 58-nucleotide small RNA is filed under the name Helianthus annuus (common sunflower). Lineage: Eukaryota; Viridiplantae; Streptophyta; Magnoliopsida; Asterales; Asteraceae. The record is from RNAcentral.